Molecule: ribosomal RNA, 497 nt
Filed under: uncultured bacterium
Lineage: Bacteria
Description: partial 16S ribosomal RNA
Rfam family: Bacterial small subunit ribosomal RNA
Source: RNAcentral
GAUGAACGCUGGCGGCGUGCCUAAUACAUGCAAGUCGAGCGAACAGACGAGGAGCUUGCUCCUCUGACGUUAGCGGCGGACGGGUGAGUAACACGUGGAUAGCCUACCUAUAAGACUGGGAUAACUUCGGGAAACCGGAGCUAAUACCGGAUAACAUGUUGAACCGCAUGGUUCAACAGUGAAAGACGGUUUUGCUGUCACUUAUAGAUGGAUCCGCGCCGCAUUAGCUAGUUGGUAAGGUAACGGCUUACCAAGGCAACGAUGCGUAGCCGACCUGAGAGGGUGAUCGGCCACACUGGAACUGAGACACGGUCCAGACUCCUACGGGAGGCAGCAGUAGGGAAUCUUCCGCAAUGGGCGAAAGCCUGACGGAGCAACGCCGCGUGAGUGAAGAAGGUCUUCGGAUCGUAAAACUCUGUUAUUAGGGAAGAACAAAUGUGUAAGUAACUAUGCACGUCUUGACGGUACCUAAUCAGAAAGCCACGGCUAACUACGUG